Oryctolagus cuniculus (rabbit) is the source of this 2177-nucleotide long non-coding RNA. NCBI's taxonomy places the organism in Eukaryota, Metazoa, Chordata, Mammalia, Lagomorpha, Leporidae. The record is from Ensembl.
GUGCUGAUAAAGAUUUUACAACAUACAGGACAGCCUCUUUUCCUUACCCCUCCAAAUAAAGAAUUAUUUAGCAUCAAAUGUCAAUAAUGACCUGGCUGAUUAAAUCUUCUUAAACCAGCCAAGACCAGUACUGAAUCUGACUAUGAGGUUUGCUUCUUCCAGGGGACCACUGAGAGGAUGUGUGGGAGAGGGAAGGAUGUCUGAGCAAAACUGGGAUUCUACUUAGAAGUAACAUCAGGCCGGCGCCGCGGCUCACUAGGCUAAUCUUCCACCUGUGGUGCUGGCACACUGGGUUCUAGUUCUGGUCGGGGCGCCGGAUUCUGUCCUGGUUGCCCCUCUUCCAGUCCAGCUCUCUGCUGCGGCCCGGGAAGGCAGUGGUGGAUGGCCCAAGUGGUUGGGCCCUGCACCCCCAUGGGAGACCAGGAGGAGGCACCUGGCUCCUGGCUUCAGAUCAGCACGGUGUGCCGGCCGCAGUGUGCCAACCACAGCGGGCAUUGGAGGGUGAACCAAUGGUAAAGGAAUACCUUUCUCUCUGUUUCUCUCUCUCUCUCACUGUCCACUCUGCCUGUCCAAAAAAAAAAAAAAAAAAAAGUAAAAUCAGGGAAGAACAGUGGGUUUGUGACUUGUGUCAUCUACUAAAUGUUGCCUGGAAUUUUCUGUUUCCAUUUUCUGUCAGUUGUGUAACUCAUGUGUAUUCUGCAGAUGGCAUUUUCUUUAGGAAAUUGUCUCUGCAUAUAGUCCCUUCUCUCAAUUUCUUCCUGUUUGCCAGGCUGAGUUGUCUACUUCUGAUUGACUCCAAAAACAUAGAGUACAUUAUAACAUUCAGCCUUUGGAAUUUAAUUAAUCUUUAUUUUUCAAUAGUGUGUAAUUUCUUUCAGUGUUGGAGACCAAGUACUAUUCAUGCAAAAAAUCCAUCAAGCAGCACAGCAUGAUUUCAACAGACUCUGGGCAUGGAUUUUUUUCACUGCAAAUUUUUACAAUCACUUCCCCUCCCAGAUAGGUAAGUAGGGAGAAUACAGAGAAGACUCUCAUGUCCCAUAGUUCAGUUUCAUUUUGUUAUGGUGCAUGUAACAGUAACAAGUAGGAAGAAUUAGGAAUUUAAGAUUUUUCUCCCUCUUCUUCUUUCUGUCCUCCUCCUCUCUUUUUUCUCCUUGUUUUUUCUUUCUGUAUUUGUUCUCAAUCUUUCUGUUGUAUAACAAUAAGUCGCUCACAUUUUCAGCUUCCUCUCAAAUCUAUUUCGCUUUCACCUAACCAGUACCCAUGGCCCACAGAUGCUCAUUCCUCAAAGUAUUUCAAAUCUAUCCCCUCAUUCUGCUCCUAAUUUUUUCAGAAUAUAUGAUUUAUCAUUUUACUAUUGUAAAAAUAUUUAUUUUUACUUAUUUGAAAGAGGAAGAGAGGGAGAGAAAGAGAGGAGAGAAAGGAAUCUCCCAUCCAGUGGUUUACUCCUCAAAUGCCGAUAAUAGUCAGGGCCAGCUAGGCUGAAGCCAGGAGCCAGGAACUCAAUGAAGAUUUCUCAUGUAGGCAGCAGGGUCUCGAGUGCUUAAGCUAUCACUACUGCCUCCCAGGGUACACAUUAGUAGAAAGCUGAAAUGGGAAGCACAGCUAGGGUUUGAGUUCCAGCACUCCUGUAUGGGAUGUGGUUGUCCCCCAAAAUAUCUCAACUGCUGUGCCAAGAGCCAGCCCUGAUUGCCACAGUCUUGUCUUGUCUUUUCUUUUCUUUUCUUUUCUUUUCUUUUCUUUUCUUUUCUUUUCUUUUUAUUAUUAUUUGACAGAGUUAGAGACAGUGAGAGAGAGAGAGAGACAGAGAGAAAGGUCUUCCCUCUGCUGGUUCACUCCCCAAAUGGCCACCACGGCUGGCUCUGUGCUGAUCUGAAGCCAGGAGCCAGGUGCCUCUUCCUGGUCUCCCAUGCGGGUGCAGGGCCCAAGCACCUGGGCCAUCCUCCACUGCACUCCCGGGCCACAGCAGAGAGCUGGACUGGAAGAGGAGCAACGGGGACUGGAACCCGGCACCCAUAUGGCAUGCCAGCGCCGCAGGUGGAGGAUUAACCAAGUGACCCACGGCUCCGGCCCCGCACAGUCUUCUAAUAUGUCUUCCAUUUGACACUCUCAUUUUUCUACAGUCCAUCUUUCUUUUUUUUAUGAAAAGUCAAUAAUAAAUGUAUAAUUUCUGUAGAACA